Molecule: transfer RNA, 65 nt
Filed under: Indochinamon bhumibol
Lineage: Eukaryota; Metazoa; Arthropoda; Malacostraca; Decapoda; Potamidae
Description: tRNA-Asn
Source: RNAcentral
UUGAUAGAGGCCAAAAAGAGGCAUAUCAUUGUUAAUGAUACAAUUGAAAUUUCUUUCCUAUCAAU